Molecule: ribosomal RNA, 218 nt
Filed under: Bacillus subtilis
Lineage: Bacteria; Bacillati; Bacillota; Bacilli; Caryophanales; Bacillaceae
Description: partial 23S ribosomal RNA
Rfam family: Bacterial large subunit ribosomal RNA
Source: RNAcentral
GGUGUACCAGUUGUUCUGCCAAGGGCAUCGCUGGGUAGCUAUGUGCGGACGGGAUAAGUGCUGAAAGCAUCUAAGCAUGAAGCCCCCUCAAGAUGAGAUUUCCCAUUCCGCAAGGAAGUAAGAUCCCUGAAAGAUGAUCAGGUUGAUAGGUCUGAGGUGGAAGUGUGGCGACACAUGGAGCUGACAGAUACUAAUCGAUCGAGGACUUAACCAUAUUU